CCCGUCAAGCCAUGGAAGCUGGGUGUACCUAAAGUCGGUUGCACUAGAAGUCGGUGGGCUAACCCGCAAGGGGGGCAGCCGCCUAAAGUGUGAUCGGUAAUUGGGGUG
RNAcentral lists this ribosomal RNA (108 nucleotides) under uncultured bacterium. RNAcentral's name for it is "partial 16S ribosomal RNA". The record is from RNAcentral.